RNAcentral lists this transfer RNA (90 nucleotides) under Halobacteriovorax sp. BALOs_7. RNAcentral's name for it is "tRNA-Ser". It matches the Rfam family "tRNA". Rfam says of the family: Transfer RNA (tRNA) molecules are approximately 80 nucleotides in length. The record is from RNAcentral. Lineage: Bacteria; Pseudomonadati; Bdellovibrionota; Bacteriovoracia; Bacteriovoracales; Halobacteriovoraceae. RNAcentral also lists the same sequence under 3 other names.
GGAGAAGUGGGAGAGUGGCCGAAUCCAGCACCUUGCUAAGGUGUCGUACCCUUACGGGUACCGCGAGUUCAAAUCUCGCCUUCUCCGCCA